UCCGUGGUAACACCACGGCAGUCCCUGGUGACACAAAUAACACCAGGCAAGGGUUGCGCUCGUUGCGGGACUUAACCCAACAUCUCACGACACGAGCCGACGACAGCCAUGCAGCACCUGUAUACCGACCACAAGGGGGGCCGUAUCUCUACGGCUUUCCGGUAUAUGUCAAACCCAGGUAAGGUUCUUCGCGUUGCCUCGAAUUAAGCAACAUGCUCCGCUGCUUGUGCGGGCCCCCGUCAAUUCCCUUGAGUUUUAGCCUUGCGGCCGUACUCCCCAGGCGGGGUACUUAAUGCGUUAGCUUCGGCACGGAACCCGUUGAUAAGGCCCCACACCUAGUACCCAACGUUUACGGCGUGGACUAC
This 365-nucleotide unclassified non-coding RNA is filed under the name uncultured Actinomycetes bacterium. RNAcentral describes it as "uncultured actinobacterium contains 16S-23S intergenic spacer region". Lineage: Bacteria; Bacillati; Actinomycetota; Actinomycetes. The record is from RNAcentral.